This 219-nucleotide long non-coding RNA is filed under the name Elaeis guineensis (African oil palm). RNAcentral describes it as "long non-coding RNA (EGUI_LNC011796)". The record is from RNAcentral. Lineage: Eukaryota; Viridiplantae; Streptophyta; Magnoliopsida; Arecales; Arecaceae.
ACAUGCCAACCCAUGUGGGUUCACUUUUUGAAUACGUUUUGCGAAUCACCGGUAGUUUGCGCCUAACUUAAUCCGUACUCCACGUUAAGCACGCGGCUAAGUCCAUGCGAAGACGAUGCCAAAAAAAAAAUUGUCGUGGUGUCUGUGCUUUGUCGGCAAGAUGGAUGUAUACAGUUUUUCUCAAAAAAAGAUGGAUACAUGCAAUGGAUUCAGAGGGCA